RNAcentral lists this ribosomal RNA (789 nucleotides) under uncultured archaeon. Its description in RNAcentral is "bacterial SSU rRNA". It matches the Rfam family "Archaeal small subunit ribosomal RNA", at positions 83 to 879 of the family's 1478-position model. The record is from RNAcentral.
CUAGCUCAGUAACACGUAGCUAAUCUACCCUUAAGUCAAGGAUAACCUCGAGAAACUGAGGAUAAUACUUGAUAGGAGACAUACCCUAGGAAAGAUUUGUCUUUUAAAUUCGAGCUUAAGGAUGAGGCUGCGGCGGAUUAGGCUGUUGGCGGGGUAAAAGCCCACCAAACCGAUGAUCCGUAAGGGCUCUUAGCGGAGAGGCCCUGAGAGGGAAUCUGAGACACUAUUCCCAGCCCUACGGGGUGCAGCAGGUAGGAAUCUUUUGCAAUGCGCGCAAGCGUGACAAAGCGAGCCAGAGUGCUUUUCAAUUGAAAAGCUUUUGCUAAAUCUAAAAAUUUUGGCGAAUAAGGACUGGGUAAGACUAGUGCCAGCCGCCGCGGUAAUCCUAGCGGUCCAAGUCGCAGCCAUCAUUAUUGGGUCUAAAACAUCCGUAGCUUGCUUAAUAAGUUCCCUGUGAAAUCUUAACUCUUAAGGUUAAGGCGUGCGGGGAAUACUGCUAAGCUAGAGACUGGAAGACGUAAGAAGUAUGUUCAAAGUAGCGGUAAAAUGUGUUAAUCUUGAGCAGACUCACAACAGCGAAGGCAUCUUACGAGGACAGUUCUGACAGUAAAGGAUGAAGGCUAGGGGCGCGAAGUGGAUUAGAUACCCAUGUAGUCCUAGCAGUAAGCACUGCGCACUAAACAUUAGUACCUCCUCGAGAGGUAUUGGUGCUGAAGAGAAGUCGAAGAGUGCGCUACCUGGGAAGUAUAGCCGCAAGGCCGAAACUUAAAGGAAUUGGCGGGGGAGCAC